This is a long non-coding RNA of Oncorhynchus tshawytscha (Chinook salmon), 2592 nucleotides long. The record is from Ensembl. NCBI's taxonomy places the organism in Eukaryota, Metazoa, Chordata, Actinopteri, Salmoniformes, Salmonidae.
GGCUGAUGAACCCACUCCAUUUAAGCAUUCAAGCAAGCCUAUUUUUUUUUAGCAGUGUAUUCUAUUCAUUACGUUAUGCAUUAAUGUGAAUACAUCUUUCUGUCCCUUGCCACCACUAUAGCCUCCACUGGCAUGGUCCCAGUCCACACACUUAAAUUAUUUCUCGAGAUUAGAGGUCUAAAAUAUUAUUUUGUGUGGCCGCCGCCGGCCCGGCCUGGACGCAUGAUCACUCUGCCGGGUCUGGUUACCAUGCUCAAUCUUUCACCCAUGGGGCUGUGUGAGUGUGUGUUUCUCUGUGUCUGAACGUGUCUCUGUCUGUCUGUCUGCAUCUGAGCGCGUGUCUGUGUGUGUGUCUCUGUCUGUCUGUGUGUCUGUCUAUUUGUUUAUGUGUGUGUGGGUGGGUGGGUGCGUGUGUGUGUGUGCUUUUGUUUGCGUCUGUGACUCCUCUCUCACCCAGGUUGCUUCACUUUAAACCCAAGAACACUGCUGCCUGUCCAGGGUGGACACAACAAACGUGUGAUGUAAUUUCCUCCUCGGGGGGCAUCUGCUCGAGUCCUCAUGGUAGCAGCGGUAACAGGUGGGCUCAGCUUCAGAGGUUCCAGCAGUGUAGCAGGCACCAGGCAGUGUGGUCCCUGGACCCUGGAACAGCCUCAAUUCGUCCGGGCAUGAACUUUACAAGAUGUCGAAAAGCGUUCCACAGCGAUGCUGGCCCAUGUUGACUCCAAUGCUUCCCACAGUUGUGUCAAGUUGGCUGGAUGUCCUUUGGGUGUUUGACCAUUCUUCAUGCUCAAAGGAAACUGUUGAGUGUGUAAAAUCCAGCAGCAUUGCAGUUCUUGACAAACCAGUGUGCCUGGCACCUACUUCCAUACCCCGUUCAAAGGAUAACCUGCUGCUCACCAUUUACUUCCUGUGUAUGUCCCAAAUGGCACCCUAUUCCCUGUAUAGUGCAUUACGUUUGACGAGGGCCCGAAACAAUUGCACUAUAUAGGGAAAAGGGUGCCAUUUGGGACGCAACCCUGUUUUUCAACACUGACUUGGUGGAGGAGGGGAAAGUCGUGACAGAAACCGGAAGCAGGCCAAAGAGAAGGACAAUAGAAAAGUGUGUGUAAAUACCAGACUGAGGACCUGAGCCCUAGGACCAUGCCUCAGGACUACCUGACAUGAUGACUCCUUGCUGUCCCCAGUCCACCUGGCCGUGCUGCUGCUCCAGUUUCAACUGUUCUGCCUGUGAUUACUAUUAUUUGACCAUGCUGGUCAUUUAUGAACAUUUGAACAUCUUGGCCAUGUUCUGUUAUAAUCUCCACCCGGCACAGCCAGAAGAGGACGGGCCACCCCACAUAGCCUGGUUCCUCUCUAGGUUUCUUCCUUGGUUUUGGCCUUUCUAGGGAGUUUUUCCUAGCCACUGUGCUUCUACACCUGCAUUGCUUGCUGUUUGGGGUUUUAGGCUGGGUUUCUGUACAGCACUUUGAGAUAUCAGCUGAUGUACGAAGGGCUAUAUAAAUACAUUUGAUUUGAUAACAUUUCAUUGGGUAUGUAUUAAUUUGUGGAUGUGCACCACCAAUUUCGUAUUAUAUGUUAUGAUCAUCAAGGACAACAACCACCCGAGCCACUGCCUGUUCACCCCGCUAUCAUCCAGAAGGCAAGGUCAGUACAGGUGCAUCAAAGCAGGGACUGAGAGACUGAAAAACAGCUUCCAUCUCAAGGCCAUCAGACUGUUAAACAGCCACCACUAACAUUGAGUGGCUGCUGCCAACAUACUGACUCAAUUCCAGCUCACUUCAAUAAUGGAAAUUGAUGUAAAAAAUGUAUCAGUAGCCACUUUAAACAAUGCCACUUAAUAUAAUGUUUACAUACCCUACAUUACUCAUCUCAUAUGUAUAUACUGUACUCUAUAUCAUCUACUGCAUCUUGCCAUCUUUAUGUAAUACAUGUAUCACUAGCCACUUUAAACUAUGCCACUUAAUAUAAUGUUUACAUACCCUACAUUUCUCAUAUGUAAAUACUGUACUCGAUACCAUCUACUGCAUCUUGCCUAUGCCGUUCUGUACCAUCACUCAUUCAUAUAUCUUUAUGUACAUAUUCUUUAUCCCUUUACACUUGUGUGUGUAUAAGGUAGUAGUUGUGGAAUUGUUAGGUUAGAUUACUCGUUGGUUAUUACUGCAUUGUCGGAACUACAAGCAUUUCGCUACACUCGCAUUAACAUCUGCGAACCAUGUGUAUGUGACAAAUAAAAUUUGAUUUGAACUACAAUUCGUAUUAUAUGUUACAAAUUUGCCAAAUGUACAAUAUGUUACAAAUGAGAAAAAUAUACAAUAUAUUACGUAUUUUCAAAAUGUAGUAUACGUUAUGAAUUCUUGCUAGGUAACUAACAUUAGCUAACUGAAUUAGGGGCUAAGGUUAAGUUUAGGAGUUAGGUUAAAUGAUUAAGGUUAGGUGAAUGAUUAGCUAACAUUCUAAGUAGUUGAAAAGUUGCUAAUUAGUCAGUGAUGGGAUUUGAACUCUCAACUGCUGGGCUGCUAGACGUUGGCGUUAUAUGCUAACCCAUCCAGCCUGACUAACCAUUUCUACCUUUGCAUUUUCCUUAAAGCAAAU